This 1112-nucleotide long non-coding RNA is filed under the name Triticum aestivum (bread wheat). Its description in RNAcentral is "long non-coding RNA (TAES_LNC024042)". Lineage: Eukaryota; Viridiplantae; Streptophyta; Magnoliopsida; Poales; Poaceae. The record is from RNAcentral.
AUAAAAUAAGUGAUUAAAAUUUGAAAGAAGACAUACUGCCAAAUUUCCUCAAUGUUGUUGAUGUAAUUAUAAUGACAUUCCCUAUUGACUUCACAUCAAUUAGAUCAGCUUUGUCACCCCAUAAUCUAACUUUCACUUCCUGGUCUCUGUCAACAAAGAGUAAAACAAUUGUGAAGACAUGACAUGAGCAUCUUGGCUGCAAAUAAGAUGUAUUUUUUGGCUUACUCGAUUAGAAGGAAAAUAUCACGGAUUCUAGAGACCCCAAGAUAUGUUUUAGUUUCUUCAAUUGGUCCUAUGUGUGUUGCAACUCCAAUAACAUCUGUUAGCACAUGAAUUUAGAUGGCAUUCUAUACAUGACAUGAAAAAAUAUGGCAUACUGUAUAUAAAAAGUUCAAUGAUAUCAUACCUGAGAGAAAAGUGUCAAUGCUUACUUUUGGGGAGAGUACCUUCAUGCUUGAAAAGUUGAAACCAUACUUUGGAAUGUCUUCAUUAUCUUCAAUUUCCUCUAUAUUUGUUGUGGGAAAGAAGUUGAUCAUCAUAUCAUUUUGUACAGGUCGAAAUUUUGCUGCUGCUGGAAUGACUCUCACAUUUUUAACGAGGUACACAUUGCCUUCUUGAAUAAAUGACCUUAACUUUUCGAUAUAUGCCUUAUUGAUAACUCCAUGCAACAUUGUCCCCUUCAAUUGUAUUUGUAAUUAGCAUGUAGAUUGAAGCUAAAUUAUCAAAAUAAUUCAAGAAAGGAUGCAAUUUCUAUGAGAGAACCAUAAUAACUCUUCAUCAAUAAGGACCAUGUCUAGACUAAGUAUUUCACCAUUACUGACCAGUAUGGAAUCCCAUAGUCUUGAUACUCUUGCCUUGAUUGUUAUUUCCUUUCCUCUAGUGGUAGUAUUGAUCUGACAAAAGGUUUUGUAUGCCAUGAAAGACUUCGUCAUCGAACUGCAAAAUCAAAAAGAUAGUUAGGAAUAUGUAUGACGAUGCUUAUGAGAUUGUUACUUUUACAGGGGAGCUAUUUGUCCAAACCUGUGUGAUUAGAGCUGGUCGGAAACGACGGCAACCCGUUCCUGACGGAAGCGAUGGAAGGGGCUAUCCGCUGCGGACAAUGAGAUAUGUUG